Acanthosepion pharaonis is the source of this 111-nucleotide non-coding RNA. NCBI's taxonomy places the organism in Eukaryota, Metazoa, Mollusca, Cephalopoda, Sepiida, Sepiidae. The record is from the annotation of a GenBank genome assembly.
UACAGCCAUAUCACAUUGAAACACCGGUCCCUUAUGAUCACUAAAGUUAAGCAAUGUUGAGCCUGGUCAGUACCUAGAUUAAUGACCCCUUGGAAAUACCAGGUGCUGUAA